Molecule: ribosomal RNA, 430 nt
Filed under: bacterium fme09x27p253
Lineage: Bacteria
Description: bacterial SSU rRNA
Rfam family: Bacterial small subunit ribosomal RNA
Source: RNAcentral
GCUACACAUGCAGUCGAGCGGAACGAUGGUAGCUUGCUACCAGGCGUCGAGCGGCGGACGGGUGAGUAAUACUUAGGAAUCUACCUAGUAGUGGGGGAUAGCACGGGGAAACUCGUAUUAAUACCGCAUACGACCUACGGGAGAAAGGGGGCAGUUUACUGCUCUCGCUAUUAGAUGAGCCUAAGUCGGAUUAGCUAGAUGGUGGGGUAAAGGCCUACCAUGGCGACGAUCUGUAGCUGGUCUGAGAGGAUGAUCAGCCACACCGGGACUGAGACACGGCCCGGACUCCUACGGGAGGCAGCAGUGGGGAAUAUUGGACAAUGGNGGAAACCCUGAUCCAGCCAUGCCGCGUGUGUGAAGAAGGCCUUUUGGUUGUNAAGCACUUUAAGCAGUGAAGAAGACUCUUCGGUUAAUACCCGGAGACGAUGAC